GUAAGGAAUAUUGGUCAAUGGACGAAAGUCUGAACCAGCCAUGCCGCGUGGGGGAUGAAGGUCCUCUGGAUUGUAAACUUCUUUUAUAUGGGACGAAAAUGGGGCUUUCUAGCUCAACUGACGGUACCAUAUGAAUAAGCACCGGCUAACUCCGUGCCAGUAGCCGCGGUAAUACGGAGGGUGCAAGCGUUAUCCGGAUUCACUGGGUUUAAAGGGUGCGUAGGUGGAUUGGUAAGUCAGAGGUGAAAUCUCCGGGCUCAACUCGGAAACUGCCUUUGAUACUAUCAAUCUUGAAUAUUGUGGAGGUUAGCGGAAUAUGUCAUGUAGCGGUGAAAUGCUUAGAUAUGACAUAGAACACCAAUUGCGAAGGCAGCUGGCUACACAUAUAUUGACACUGAGGCACGAAAGCGUGGGGAUCAAACAGGAUUAGAAACCCCGGUAGUCC
This 445-nucleotide ribosomal RNA is filed under the name uncultured bacterium. Its description in RNAcentral is "partial 16S ribosomal RNA". It matches the Rfam family "Bacterial small subunit ribosomal RNA", at positions 354 to 796 of the family's 1533-position model. The record is from RNAcentral.